GGGUCCGCACAAGCGGUGGAGCAUGUGGUUUAAUUCGAUAAUACGCGAGGAACCUUACCUAGGCUAGAAUGCGAGUGACAUCCAGAGAGAUCUGGAGUUCUUCGGACACAAAGCAAGGUGCUGCAUGGUUGUCGUCAGCUCGUGCCGUGAGGUGUUGGGUUAAGUCCCGCAACGAGCGCAACCCCUGUUUUUAGUUGCCAGCAAGUAAUGUUGGGGACUCUAGAAAGACUGCCUGCGUAAGCAGAGAGGAAGGAGGGGACGACGUCAAAUCAGCAUGGCCCUUAUGCCUAGGGCUACACACGUGCUACAAUGGCGUAUACAAAGGGUAGCGAACCAGUGAUGGUAAGCCAAUCUCUAAAAGUACGUCUCAGUUCGGAUUGAAGUCUGCAACUCGACUUCAUGAAGCUGGAAUCGCUAGUAA
Molecule: ribosomal RNA, 421 nt
Filed under: uncultured bacterium
Lineage: Bacteria
Description: bacterial SSU rRNA
Rfam family: Bacterial small subunit ribosomal RNA
Source: RNAcentral